UAUUUCAAACUCUAUAUAGACCAUAGGCUUACUUCGAUAGGACAUCCUUAGUCAAAUAGGAAAGCUGAAGUCACUAAUCAGACUAUUCUUCAAGGUCUGAGGAUAAGGCUUAUUGAAGCAAAAGAACUUUGAAUAGAUGAACUCUACAGUAUCCUCUGGCUUUACAUAACUACACCUCAUGUACCAAUUGGGGAAACACCUUUUAAACUUUUGGAAUAGAAGCUAUAAUCCUAGUAG
RNAcentral lists this long non-coding RNA (237 nucleotides) under Elaeis guineensis (African oil palm). RNAcentral's name for it is "long non-coding RNA (EGUI_LNC002331)". The record is from RNAcentral. Lineage: Eukaryota; Viridiplantae; Streptophyta; Magnoliopsida; Arecales; Arecaceae.